RNAcentral lists this ribosomal RNA (305 nucleotides) under uncultured bacterium. RNAcentral describes it as "bacterial SSU rRNA". It matches the Rfam family "Bacterial small subunit ribosomal RNA", at positions 335 to 657 of the family's 1533-position model. The record is from RNAcentral.
CUCCCUACGGGACGCAGCAGUGGGGGAUAUUGCACAAUGGGGGAAACCCUGAUGCAGCGACGCCGCGUGUGGGAAGACGGUCUUCUGGAUUGUAAACCACUGUCCCCAGGGAUGAAAAUGACGGUACCUGGGGAGGAAGCUCCGGCUAACUACGUGCCAGCAGCCGCGGUAAUACGUAGGGAGCAAGCGUUGCCCGGAAUUACUGGGUGUAAAGGGAGCGUAGGCGGGGAUGCAAGUUGGGUGUCAAAACUACCGGCUCAACCGAUAGUCGCACUCAAAACUGCAGCUCUUGAUUGAAGUAGAGG